This 384-nucleotide ribosomal RNA is filed under the name uncultured bacterium. RNAcentral's name for it is "bacterial SSU rRNA". It matches the Rfam family "Bacterial small subunit ribosomal RNA", at positions 30 to 416 of the family's 1533-position model. The record is from RNAcentral.
AUUGAACGCUGGCGGCAUGCCUUACACAUGCAAGUCGAACGGCAGCACGGGAGCAAUCCUGGUGGCGAGUGGCGAACGGGUGAGUAAUAUAUCGGAACGUGCCCAGUCGUGGGGAUAACGUAGCGAAAGCUACGCUAAUACCGCAUACGAUCUACGGAUGAAAGCGGGGGAUCGCAAGACCUCGCGCGAUUGGAGCGGCCGAUAUCAGAUUAGGUAGUUGGUGAGGUAAAGGCUCACCAAGCCGACGAUCUGUAGCUGGUCUGAGAGGACGACCAGCCACACUGGGACUGAGACACGGCCCAGACUCCUACGGGAGGCAGCAGUGGGAAUUUUGGACAAUGGGCGCAAGCCUGAUCCAGCAAUGCCGCGUGCAGGAUGAAGGCC